RNAcentral lists this ribosomal RNA (460 nucleotides) under uncultured bacterium. RNAcentral's name for it is "partial 16S ribosomal RNA". It matches the Rfam family "Bacterial small subunit ribosomal RNA", at positions 338 to 795 of the family's 1533-position model. The record is from RNAcentral.
CCUACGGGAGGCAGCAGUGAGGAAUAUUGGUCAAUGGGCGGAAGCCUGAACCAGCCAAGUCGCGUGAGGGAUGAAGGCCCUAAGGGUUGUAAACUUCUUUUAUAGGGGAAUAAAGGGCCGUACGUGUCCGGCUUUGAGUGUACCCUAUGAAUAAGCACCGGCUAACUCCGUGCCAGCAGCCGCGGUAAUACGGAGGAUGCGGGCGUUAUCCGGAUUUAUUGGGUUUAAAGGGAGCGUAGGCGGGACUUUAAGCCCGCGGUGAAAUUUCCGGGCUCAACCCCGGCCUUGCCGUGGGAACUGGUGGCCUUGAGUGCGCGGGAGGCAGGCGGAAUUCGUGGUGUAGCGGUGAAAUGCAUAGAUAUCACGCAGAACCCCGAUUGCGAAGGCAGCUUGCUGUACCGUAACUGACGCUGAGGCACGAAAGCGCGGGGAUCGAACAGGAUUAGAUACCCCAGUAGUC